AGGUUUUAAGGUGAAAAUUCACUUUUCGGAUGAGUUAUAAAGCACUCAUAUAUGAUAUUUAUGAAAUUUUUUUAUCCUCUUAUUUUACUCUU
Non-coding RNA from Schizosaccharomyces pombe (fission yeast), 92 nucleotides. NCBI's taxonomy places the organism in Eukaryota, Fungi, Ascomycota, Schizosaccharomycetes, Schizosaccharomycetales, Schizosaccharomycetaceae. The record is from the annotation of a GenBank genome assembly.